RNA transcript from Mesoplodon densirostris (Blainville's beaked whale), 1363 nucleotides. It is a transcript of the gene named neuromedin U, with no coding region annotated. The record is from RefSeq and is a predicted model, not a curated record. Lineage: Eukaryota; Metazoa; Chordata; Mammalia; Artiodactyla; Ziphiidae. The transcript has 11 exons.
AGAUGACGCGCGCGGGGACCUCGCCGCCUCAGCCCACGUGUCCGCGAGAUUUAAAAGUUGCCAGAGCGCGGGUGGGCCAGUCUGGCGGCCGAACUGGGCGAACAGCGCGCCAGGGACGCAGAAGCUCAGCCAGAGCAUCGCUUGGAGCGCGGGCCGGUGCCGUGCAGGGUCCCGGGAUGCUGCGAGUCGCGAGCCGCCGCCCCGGGCCGCCCCCCGGUCAGGUGGCCGCUGCGUCCCCGCUCCUGCUGCUACUACUGCUGUCUUGUUGCGCGGACAGCUGCGGAGGUGCUCCAAUAUUGCCUCAAGGAUUACAGCUGGAACAAGAAUUACAGUUGCGGAAUGAGCUAGAUGAUGCUUGUUCAUCUUUCCUGUCCAUGGAUCCUCUGCCUCAGGCAUCCAGUGCAUUGGAGGAGCUUUGCUUCAUAAUUAUGGGGACUCUACCAAAGCCCCAGAAAACAGAUGAAAAAGAUAAUACCAAAAGGUUCUUAUUUCAUUAUUCGAAGACACAAAAGUUGGGCAAUUCAAAUGCUGUGUCGUCUGUCCUGCAUCCGCUGCUGCAGCUCGUUCCACAACUGCAUGAGAGAAGAAUGAAGAGGUUCAAAGUGGACGGAGAAUUCCAAGGCCAAAGCAGAGGAUUCUUUUUAUUCAGGCCACGCAAUGGAAGAAGGUCAGAAGGUUACAUUUAAAAUGAGUAACAUGCUUUUAUUUUACCAUCGUGCAUAUAAGGAAAGACCAAUAUAUCAAUGAGAGUCCCUGAAUUUCACUUCUUGUCAACCCACAUGAAGAACAUGAGAAAGAAGGAGCAGAAGAGAACAAAAAGUAUCUUCUUUAAAAAAUGAAUUACCUUGAUGCGAUGCAGACUUGAGACAAGAGAAUGUUGCCAGAGCUGCUCCAGGUCUUUGCUCAAAACCUGCCAACCCCCACGUUCAGCAAGAGUUAACAUAAAUCGUUAAAGGGUCCAGAAAUAAAAAAGGAAGCUACAAACAAACAAACAAAAACCAGAUGGAACCAGCUAGGACCAAGACGGUGACAGAUCUGACCUCCAACAGACCCUGAAUCUCAUUAUAUGCUGAUUUUACUACAUUUGCAUAUUAAAUGACAUACCUACUGGUGGCCAAGACUGGAUAUUAAGGACCAAAAAAGGAUAAAAAGGGGUGGCACUCCAUUCCCUUGGAAAAAACUCUGCCUCUUCCCCAGUAGACUAAUGCGUAUGCCUCCCCAUCAUUAACUUCACUCCUCCCUUUGCCUUUACUCUUUAAAAUUAAAGCCCUCUGGACACGUGGGCAAGAAGUAGAUCUGUGAACUCAGUUACUGCUUCUCCAUUCUUUGGCCACUGAAUAAAGCUUGUGCUGUGUUGAUCUCA